This 60-nucleotide transfer RNA is filed under the name Mycopsylla gardenensis. RNAcentral describes it as "tRNA-Phe". The record is from RNAcentral. Lineage: Eukaryota; Metazoa; Arthropoda; Insecta; Hemiptera; Carsidaridae.
ACUUUUAGAAAUUACAAUUUUAUUUUGAAAAAAUAAAGUUUUAGUUAAACUAUAAAAGUA